RNAcentral lists this unclassified non-coding RNA (308 nucleotides) under Yoonia rosea. RNAcentral describes it as "Long range pseudoknot". The record is from RNAcentral. Lineage: Bacteria; Pseudomonadati; Pseudomonadota; Alphaproteobacteria; Rhodobacterales; Paracoccaceae.
ACGGACAUCAACGACUACCAGGUGAAAAUGCGCAACGUUUUCAAGUUUCUUGAAAACGGCGACAAAGUGAAAAUCACGCUGCGGUUCCGUGGUCGCGAAAUGGCACACCAGGAAUUGGGCCGUCAAUUGUUGGAGCGUGUUGCCGAAGACACCAAGGAAACCGGCAAGGUCGAGAACUUCCCGAAAAUGGAAGGCCGUCAGAUGGUUAUGCUGAUCGGACCACUGACGAAGUAAAGCUGAAACGUUUUGAAUGAAAAAAGCCCCCGCAAUCGCGGGGGCUUUUUGGUUCAGGCCGCAGCGGUGACCGC